Molecule: ribosomal RNA, 477 nt
Filed under: uncultured Rhodoferax sp.
Lineage: Bacteria; Pseudomonadati; Pseudomonadota; Betaproteobacteria; Burkholderiales; Comamonadaceae
Description: bacterial SSU rRNA
Rfam family: Bacterial small subunit ribosomal RNA
Source: RNAcentral
CAAAUGAAUUGACGGGACCGCACAAGCGGCGGAUGAUGUGGUUAAUUCGAUGCAACGCGAAAACCUUACCCACCUUUGACAUGUACGGAAGCCUUUAGAGAUAGAGGCGUGCUCGAAAGAGAGCCGUAACACAGGUGCUGCAUGGCUGUCGUCAGCUCGUGUCGUGAGAUGUUGGGUUAAGUCCCCGCAACGAGCGCAACCCUUGUCAUUAGUUGCUACAUUCAGUUGGGCACUCUAAUGAGACUGCCGGUGACAAGCCGGAGGAAGGUGGGGAUGACGUCAAGUCCUCAUGGCCCUUAUAGGUGGGGCUACACACGUCAUACAAUGGCUGGUACAAAGGGUUGCCAACCCGCGAGGGGGAGCCAAUCCCAUAAAGCCAGUCGUAGUCCGGAUCGUAGUCUGCAACUCGACUACGUGAAGUCGGAAUCGCUAGUAAUCGUGGAUCAGAAUGUCACGGUGAAUACGUUCCCGGGUCUU